RNAcentral lists this ribosomal RNA (490 nucleotides) under uncultured bacterium. Its description in RNAcentral is "partial 16S ribosomal RNA". It matches the Rfam family "Bacterial small subunit ribosomal RNA", at positions 30 to 507 of the family's 1533-position model. The record is from RNAcentral.
AUUGAACGCUGGCGGCAGGCCUAACACAUGCAAGUCGAAUGGUAACAGGAAACAUCUUGCUGUUUCGCUGACGAGUGGCGGACGGGUGAGUAAUGUCUGGGAAACUGCCUGAUGGAGGGGGAUAACUACUGGAAACGGUAGCUAAUACCGCAUAACGUCGCAAGACCAAAGAGGGGGACCUUCGGGCCUCUUGCCAUCAGAUGUGCCCAGAUGGGAUUAGCUAGUAGGUGGGGUAACGGCUCACCUAGGCGGCGAUCCCUAGCUGGUCUGAGAGGAUGACCAGCCACACUGGAACUGAGACACGGUCCAGACUCCUACGGGAGGCAGCAGUGGGGAAUAUUGCACAAUGGGCGCAAGCCUGAUGCAGCCAUGCCGCGUGUAUGAAGAAGGCCUUCGGGUUGUAAAGUACUUUCAGCGGGGAGGAAGGGAGUAAAGUUAAUACCUUUGCUCAUUGACGUUACCCGCAGAAGAAGCACCGGCUAACUCCGUG